This is a non-coding RNA of Candidatus Nomurabacteria bacterium, 397 nucleotides long. The record is from Rfam. Lineage: Bacteria; Candidatus Nomuraibacteriota.
GGGGAUGCAAGGCAUAGACAGUAGGCUUUUUGUUAUUGAUGCAUGCCGAGAAUGAACGUAAUCUCGUAAAACUUCGUUCAAAUGUUAAUUGCAAAAUUAGCUUCCAAGGUGAGAGCUUUGUCUCCGUACUUCGGUAUGAAUGACUUUGCUUUUGCUUCAGUUCCCGCUUACGCGUAACUGAUGUCUCUCUUAUAGACUUCCGAUAUAUAAGGGCAGGCAUAAUAUUAUCGGGAUAGGAAAAAGAAUGUUCCAACUUUUCUCCAAAACAAAGGGGCUCGAUUAAAAAAUAUUUGGCUUGCUUAAGAAUUUUUUAAUUUAAACAAAAAAGCACGCUAUGUAUGUAGACUUCUUUACAAUCACCUUCUGCACGGGGGCUCAUUUCCCCCCAUCUCCACAA